RNAcentral lists this ribosomal RNA (468 nucleotides) under uncultured bacterium. RNAcentral describes it as "partial 16S ribosomal RNA". It matches the Rfam family "Bacterial small subunit ribosomal RNA", at positions 28 to 507 of the family's 1533-position model. The record is from RNAcentral.
GACGAACGCUGGCGGCGUGCUUAACACAUGCAAGUCGAACGGAAAGGCCCUGCUUUUGUGGGGUGCUCGAGUGGCGAACGGGUGAGUAACACGGGAGUAACCUGCCCUUGACUUUGGGAUAACUUCAGGAAGCUGGGGCUAAUACCGGAUAGGAGCUCCUGCUGCAGGGGGGGGGUUGGAAAGUUUCGGCGGUUGGGGAUGGACUCGCGGCUUAUCAGCUUGUUGGUGGGGUAGUGGCUUACCAAGGCUUUGACGGGUAGCCGGCCUGAGAGGGUGACCGGCCACAUUGGGACUGAGAUACGGCCCAGACUCCUACGGGAGGCAGCAGUGGGGAAUAUUGCACAAUGGGCGGAAGCCUGAUGCAGCAACGCCGCGUGCGGGAUGACGGCCUUCGGGUUGUAAACCGCUUUCGCCUGUGACGAAGCGUGAGUGACGGUAAUGGGUAAAGAAGCACCGGCUAACUACGUG